UACGUAGGGUGCGAGCGUUGUCCGGAAUUAUUGGGCGUAAAGAGCUUGUAGGCGGUUUGUCGCGUCUGCUGUGAAAAUCCGGGGCUCAACCCCGGACUUGCAGUGGGUACGGGCAGACUAGAGUGUGGUAGGGGAGACUGGAAUUCCUGGUGUAGCGGUGAAAUGCGCAGAUAUCAGGAGGAACACCGGUGGCGAAGGGCGGGGUCUCUGGGGCCGUAACUGACGCUGAGGGAGCGAAAGCAUGGGGAGCGAACAGG
This 257-nucleotide ribosomal RNA is filed under the name uncultured bacterium. Its description in RNAcentral is "partial 16S ribosomal RNA". It matches the Rfam family "Bacterial small subunit ribosomal RNA", at positions 524 to 776 of the family's 1533-position model. The record is from RNAcentral.